Salvelinus fontinalis (brook trout) is the source of this 2234-nucleotide long non-coding RNA. RefSeq lists it as uncharacterized. The record is from RefSeq and is a predicted model, not a curated record. NCBI's taxonomy places the organism in Eukaryota, Metazoa, Chordata, Actinopteri, Salmoniformes, Salmonidae. The transcript has 3 exons.
UAAUGAGAGAACUCGAGGUUCUCUUAUUAUUGCUAUAAUCUGCAUUUUGGUUGCUUCAGGCCUUGUUGGACUUGCAAUCUAUCUUAAGAAGAGGAGAAACGGACACUCACAUACAGAUUCAGCUGAAAGAAAGCAAGAUGUCAUCCAGUAUACAGAGAUAACUCACAUUAAACCAGCAGAAAACCAGGAGGAGCGAAGAGGUAUACCAGAACUGGAUCUGCUUAGAGACAACCCUAACCUCAACAUUAGUUUAUUAUACACUCCAGUAACAUCACAUGGCUGCCAGCGAGGAUGUUGACACAGCAUGAAGGAGAGAGAGAACAGCAAGUUACUGAGAGGGUAACAUGAUAAUUCACAUCCAAGAGAAGGUGUUACCUCUUACAGUGGAUGUUGAGACAAAAUUAUAGUAAAUAUUCAUCUGGAAAACUUAAUGGAGGCACAGUUGUUACUGGAGGAAAUUCCCAUUUAACGAUUGUGCUGUUAUCAUUUCAAACUUCCUUUGUUGGUCAUUCUCACAGUCUCUUGUUGAUUUGGGGGCUUGAUGAGAUUCACUGAUGCAGACAAAUUCAAUAACUAUGCCUAGGGUUAUUAGUAGGAUGAUCCCUCUUUUCAAGUGCCCAUUGUCCAAAUGUAUAGGUUAUUAAAACAAAUGGAACCUCUUUUAAUACAAUUAAUUAGUGUACUUACUAUACUACUGCUGUGCCAAAGCUUCUUUUCAGUAUUGUCUGUUCUGUUGUUUAAAUGUAGGUGCCACCCCUGUAUAUUUUUUUAUAACUGGUCAUUAUUUAGCUUGCCAGUGGAUAGUAGCUGUGAACAUAAAAAGUAGAUGUUUGGUGAGAAAAAGCCACCUACUCCUCAGCACAAUGGCUAUUAGUGUAAUGGCUUUCGUUGGUGGAAGGACCAAAAUGCAGCGUGGUACGUAUCCAUAAUAUCAUUUAAUCGAGAAUGAAUACAAAAUACAAAAGAACAAGAGAAUAAAUGAAAAUCGAACUGGUACCGAUUGGUACUAACACAUGAAACAAUCACCCACAAAACACAAUAGAAAACAGGCUACCUAAAUAUGGCUCCCAAUCAGAGACAACGACUGACACCUGCCUCUGGUUGAGAACCAUACUAGGCCAAACACAUAGAAAUAUAACAUACAGAACAAAACAUAGAAUGCCCACCCCAACUCACGCCCUGACCAAACUAAAAUAAAGACAUAAAAACGGAACUAAGGUCAGAACGUGACAAUUAGGCUACGUUGGAAACCACCAAAUUCUGUUGAAACAUUUCUGAGUGGUAGAUCUUGAUUUGCCUUUUGACUCAGAAAGUGAUCUUUGGUGACAUUUUACUCUUAUUGCUUUUCACAAAAUGCAGACGUGAUUAAGUGUAGUUCAGAUCUUGCUUUGACAAUAACUGUGUUCAUGCAGUUUGAAUGUACGUUUCAAUGUUUUGUGUGGACCCCAGGAAGAGUUUUGUGCUCUGAGCCAGUGUACACCAAUUUGUACUCUGAGUCAGUGUACUGUAUAUUGUAAGUGUAACUUAAAUCAUGUGUCAGUAAAAUGUUCUCUAACCGUUCUAUGCUUUUACAUUUGGACUGUGGUCAUGCAUUAUUGUGCCAAUUUAUGUUUUAUAUAAAAACAUGUAUUGUAAAUUAUUCCAUGCCAAAUAUAAUUUUAAUCACAUUUGGUCAGAAAACAUGAGUGCCUCAUUUAUCAUUCUGUGUAUUUAUGUGAUGUGUUUUUCUACAAUUUUCAGAUUGUGCAAUACAUUUUAACUUCCUGAUUCCUGAUCUUUAGCAUUAUGGUCAGUGUGAAGAACUGUCUUUGGCUCCUCCUAAAACAGAUGUUUCUGCAGCUCACACUGACAACCCCUCCUUCGGUGCACAGUUGUCAGGGUGUUGAACUUUUUCACCAGAAACCAGCAUAUAUGUAUAACUAAUUAAGUGUAUAAAAAAAAUACUUUCCCACAAUCUCUUUCACCUGCUGAGUUUCAGACUGAGCUGAAUGCUGGGCUUCACAGAGUAGAUAGCUUAGAUAUCUCAGUAUCAACACACUUGUCACAAAGUAGAGUAUAUAUUAUAUACGUAAGCUACACCAUUUAGAGUCUGUUUUUUCCAGUUAAGACCCCAAAAACGGCAGUCUUGUUUUGCUCAUGCUGCAACACUUGUCAUGAAACUAACUACAACAUUUUCACCCAUCUCACUUGUCUGCCCAUGAUCUAUUUAAUAAAGCACAUGACCUGUUCCUCAA